GACGAACGCUGGCGGCGUGCUUAACACAUGCAAGUCGAACGGAAAGGCCCUGCUUUUGUGGGGUGCUCGAGUGGCGAACGGGUGAGUAACACGUGAGUAACCUGCCCUUGACUUUGGGAUAACUUCAGGAAACUGGGGCUAAUACCGGAUAGGAGCUCCUGCUGCACGGGGGGGGUUGGAAAGUUUCGGCGGUUGGGGAUGGACUCGCGGGUUAUCAGCUGGUUGGUGGGGUAGUGGCUUACAAAGGUUUUGACGGGUAGCCGGCCUGAGAGGGUGAACGGCCACAUUGGGACUGAGAGACGGACCAGAAUCCUACGGGAGGCAGCAGUGGGGAAUAUUGCGCAAUGGGCGGAAGCCUGAUGCAGCAACGCCGCGUGCGGGAUGACGGCCUACGGGUGGUAAACCGAUUUCGCCUGUGACGUAGCGUGAGUGACGGUAAUGGGUAAAGAAGCACCGGCUAACUACGUG
RNAcentral lists this ribosomal RNA (468 nucleotides) under uncultured bacterium. RNAcentral describes it as "partial 16S ribosomal RNA". It matches the Rfam family "Bacterial small subunit ribosomal RNA", at positions 28 to 507 of the family's 1533-position model. The record is from RNAcentral.